UAGAAGUAACAAUAUAACACAGAUAAAUCAAUCAAUCUUAAGACAUACAAGACUUGAUUAUCCAGAUACAUGUAUUGAUAUCAAACUCUUGGAGGACAUGCACCUGUGUGUGAUGAAACAACCCGUCCACAUCAAACUAUCACACACCAAGGUUAAUCCAUCAAACAUCCAUGGUCAAGAAACAACCACUAUACUAAGGACAUCUUGCUACUCUCC
This 216-nucleotide long non-coding RNA is filed under the name Vigna radiata. RNAcentral's name for it is "long non-coding RNA (VRAD_LNC007738)". The record is from RNAcentral. Lineage: Eukaryota; Viridiplantae; Streptophyta; Magnoliopsida; Fabales; Fabaceae.